RNAcentral lists this ribosomal RNA (303 nucleotides) under uncultured bacterium. RNAcentral describes it as "partial 16S ribosomal RNA". It matches the Rfam family "Bacterial small subunit ribosomal RNA", at positions 507 to 809 of the family's 1533-position model. The record is from RNAcentral.
AGCAGUAGCCGCGGGAAUACGAAGGGUGCAAGCGUUAAUCGGAUUUACUGGGCGUAAAGCGUGCGUAGGCGGCUUCUUAAGUCGGAUGUGAAAUCCCUGAGCUUAACUUAGGAAUUGCAUUCGAUACUGGGAAGCUAGAGUAUGGGAGAGGAUGGUAGAAUUCCAGGUGUAGCGGUGAAAUGCGUAGAGAUCUGGAGGAAUACCGAUGGCGAAGGCAGCCAUCUGGCCUAAUACUGACGCUGAGGUACGAAAGCAUGGGGAGCAAACAGGAUUAGAUACCCCAGUAGUCCUGUCUCUUAUACA